GACGAACGCUGGCGGCGUGCUUAACACAUGCAAGUCGAACGGAAAGGCCCUGCUUUUGUGGGUUGCUCGAGUGGCGCACGGGUGAGUAACACGUGAGUAACCUGCCCUUGUCUUUGGGGUAACUUCAGGAGACUGGGGCUCAUACCGGGUAGGAGCUCCUGCUCCGUGGUGUGGGUUGGAGAGUUUCGGCGGUUGUGGAUGGACUCGCGGGUUAUCAGCUUGUUGGUGUGGUAGUGGCUUACCAAGGCUUUGACGGGUAGCCGGCCUGAGAGGGGGAACGGCGACAUGGGGCCUGCGAUACGGCCCAGACGGCUACGGGAGGCAGCAGUCGGGAAUAUUGCGGAAUGGGCGGAAGCCUGAUGCAGAAACGCCGCGUGCGGGAUGACGGCUUUCUGGUUGUAAACAGCUGUCGCCUGUGACGAAGAGAGAGUGACGGUAAUGGGUCAAGAAGCACCGGCUAACUACGUG
RNAcentral lists this ribosomal RNA (468 nucleotides) under uncultured bacterium. RNAcentral's name for it is "partial 16S ribosomal RNA". It matches the Rfam family "Bacterial small subunit ribosomal RNA", at positions 28 to 507 of the family's 1533-position model. The record is from RNAcentral.